This 501-nucleotide ribosomal RNA is filed under the name uncultured bacterium. RNAcentral describes it as "partial 16S ribosomal RNA". It matches the Rfam family "Bacterial small subunit ribosomal RNA", at positions 30 to 523 of the family's 1533-position model. The record is from RNAcentral.
AUUGAACGCUGGCGGCAGGCUUAACACAUGCAAGUCGAGCGGAGAUGAGGUGCUUGCACCUUAUCUUAGCGGCGGACGGGUGAGUAAUGCUUAGGAAUCUGCCAUUUAGUGGGGGACAACAUUCCGAAAGGAAUGCUAAUACCGCAUACGUCCUACGGGAGAAAGCAGGGGAUCUUCGGACCUUGCGCUAAAUGAUGAGCCUAAGUCGGAUUAGCUAGCUGGUGGGGUAAAGGCCUACCAAGGCGACGAUCUGUAGCGGGUCUGAGAGGAUGAUCCGCCACACUGGGACUGAGACACGGCCCAGACUCCUACGGGAGGCAGCAGUGGGGAAUAUUGGACAAUGGGCGGAAGCCUGAUCCAGCCAUGCCGCGAGUGUGAAGAAGGCCUUUUGGUUGUAAAGCACUUUAAGCGAGGAGGAGGCUACUAGUACUAAUACUACUGGAUAGUGGACGUUACUCGCAGAAUAAGCACCGGCUAACUCUGUGCCAGCAGCCGCGGUAA